CGUGCCAGCAGCCGCGGUAAUACGUAGGUGGCAAGCGUUGUCCGGAAUUAUUGGGCGUAAAGCGCGCGCAGGCGGUCCUUUAAGUCUGAUGUGAAAGCCCACGGCUCAACCGUGGAGGGUCAUUGGAAACUGGAGGACUUGAGUACAGAAGAGGAAAGCGGAAUUCCACGUGUAGCGGUGAAAUGCGUAGAGAUGUGGAGGAACACCAGUGGCGAAGGCGGCUUUCUGGUCUGUAACUGACGCUGAGGCGCGAAAGCGUGGGGAGCAAACAGGAUUAGAUACCCUGGUAGUCCACGCCGUAWWCGAWGAGUGCUAAGUGUUAGGGGGUUUCCGCCCCUUAGUGCU
This 345-nucleotide ribosomal RNA is filed under the name Sporosarcina luteola. RNAcentral describes it as "bacterial SSU rRNA". It matches the Rfam family "Bacterial small subunit ribosomal RNA", at positions 504 to 847 of the family's 1533-position model. Lineage: Bacteria; Bacillati; Bacillota; Bacilli; Caryophanales; Caryophanaceae. The record is from RNAcentral.